This 433-nucleotide ribosomal RNA is filed under the name uncultured bacterium. RNAcentral describes it as "partial 16S ribosomal RNA". It matches the Rfam family "Bacterial small subunit ribosomal RNA", at positions 29 to 507 of the family's 1533-position model. The record is from RNAcentral.
AACGAACGCUGGCGGCAUGCCUAACACAUGCAAGUCGAACGAGACCUUCGGGUCUAGUGGCGCACGGGUGCGUAACGCGUGGGAACCUGCCCUUAGGUUCGGAAUAACUCCCCGACAGGGGUGCUAAUACCGGAUAAUGUCUUCGGACCAAAGAUUUAUCGCGUUUGGAUGGGCCCGCGUUGGAUUAGCUAGUUGGUAGGGUAAAAGCCUACCAAGGCGACGAUCCAUAGCUGGUCUGAGAGAAUGAUCAGCCACACUGGGACUGAGACACGGCCCAGACUCCUACGGGAGGCAGCAGUGGGGAAUAUUGGACAAUGGGCGAAAGCCUGAUCCAGCAAUGCCGCGUGAGUGAUGAAGGCCUUAGGGUUGUAAAGCUCUUUUACCCGGGAUGAUAAUGACAGUACCGGGAGAAUAAGCUCCGGCUAACUCCGUG